Long non-coding RNA from Gallus gallus (chicken), 1303 nucleotides. The record is from Ensembl. Lineage: Eukaryota; Metazoa; Chordata; Aves; Galliformes; Phasianidae.
CAUUCACUGAUCAGUAUAAUGAAGAAAUAAUGGGUAGACACGGGCAAUAUGUUUGGCGUAUGCAAGAAAGUGACAUGACAGUGAUACGGUGCAGAGGCAGAGGAUGAACGAAACACCGAGAGCCGUCCAACGUGGAACUGAAAUUGACUGCUGCUCUCAUAUGCCCUAUUAUCGGCUUUGACACAAACCUGUGUGCAGGACUUACACACAGAGGUCUUACUCUGAAACCUUUGUGGGUGAAUGAAUAUGAAAACAAGCCCCUGCUGCCCACAGAUACAGCAUUACUGCGUUGCAUGGUGGUUACUUGCAAGUGACUUCACUAUCCUUCCGACAAGAAAUGUAAUCAAACGGGCUUUUGAAAGCUGUGGAGAGCUGAUAUUUUCUGAAUACUUCUGCUGAAAAACCCCUGAUCAACUCUAUAAAUGCUUAUGCUCUGUUGGCAGAAGCCUGACUUCGACUCACGCCAAAGGGAUCUGCCUGGAGGGCUAUAAACCAAACAGGAGUUAUGGCACCUGGAUUCUAUAGCUGCUAAGGUGACGAGUAUAAAAAGCACACACUUCAGCCAGCUGAAGAUGACAGAAUCAGCAUUUCUCUGAUAGGAAUGACAUCACAGUGCACCACGUGUAGGCUCUGAGGCCUUAGGUAGGAGACGGUCUACAAAUUAGGAACAAUAAAAAGAGCACUUCAUACAUGAGUUCACCUUCCCCUGGUGAUAAUACAUGCCAGGCACUGUUUUUCAUGCCUGCAUCAAGUCAGCAAUGGCUUUCCACCCCAGCGUGCUCAGAGCAGUGGGGAGGCAUGAAAGUAGUGCAUAGCUCUCACUCCAAACACCCAGCCCCUUCCAGCUGUACUGAGCUCCCUGGGACUUAGCACUGGUUAUCUAACAGAUAUCUCUAACCAGGAAUUCUCAGUGUCUUUUGGCACCCUUAUCCUAUCUCACUUCGUAAUCCGUUGCCCUGCAACACUUGUGUAACUCAAUUCACUGCCUGCUGUACAAGAGCACGCUCCGUAGAAAGAGGCCCAGCAGUGCAGGUGAAUAUUAAACUCCCACUGGUCACAUCCAGACAGUUCUUUCUUCCAGGAUUUGACAGCACUGAUAGCAUUUACGCCCGUUUCAAAUCCUUUCACAGAAGUUCAGAUUCAUCCCCUGCUACAACCAGACAUUAAAUAGCUACAGUGGCCUUUACUGAUCUCCCAGUGGCUCAACAUCAGUAGACAUGCUUUUACGUUUUUGUCAGCACAGUCUUCUCUAGGACUGAAACUGCCCUUGAAGCCUUUGCCCACUGCUGUCACACAAGACAAA